CCUACGGGGGGCUGCAGUGAGGAAUCUUCCACAAUGGGCGAAAGCCUGAUGGAGCGACACCGCGUGAAGGAUGAAGCCCUAUUCGGGUGUAAACUUCUGUUCUGAGGGACGAAAUUUUUGACGGUACCUCAGAAGAAAGCACCGGCUAAUUCUGUGCCAGCAGCCGCGGUAAGACAGAAGGUGCAAGCGUUACUCGGAAUUACUGGGCGUAAAGCGUCCGCAGGUUUCUCUGCACGUCUGGUGUUAAAACACGAAGCUCAACUUCGUGUCCGUGCCGGAUACGACAGGGAUAGAGUCAUUCAGAGGCAUCUGGAAUGCCGUGUGUAGGGGUAAAAUCCGUUGAUCCACGGUAGAACGCCAAAAGCGAAGGCAGGAUGCUGGGAAUGUACUGACACUCAUGGACGAAAGCGUGGGGAGCAAACGGGAUUAGAUACCCCAGU
Molecule: ribosomal RNA, 440 nt
Filed under: uncultured bacterium
Lineage: Bacteria
Description: bacterial SSU rRNA
Rfam family: Bacterial small subunit ribosomal RNA
Source: RNAcentral